GAGCGGCGAACGGGUGAGUAACGCGUGGGUAAUCUACCUUCGAGUGGGGAAUAACAUCGGGAAACUGGUGCUAAUACCGCAUAACAUCCUCGGGCCUUCGGGUCUGGGGAUCAAAGCCGGGGACCGCAAGGCCUGGCGCUUGAAGAGGAGCCCGCGUCCGAUUAGCUAGUUGGCGGGGUAACGGCCCACCAAGGCUACGAUCGGUAGCCGGCCUGAGAGGGCGGACGGCCACACUGGGACUGAGACACGGCCCAGACUCCUACGGGAGGCAGCAGUGGGGAAUUUUUCGCAAUGGGGGAAACCCUGACGAAGCAACGCCGCGUGGAGGAUGAAGGCCUUCGGGUCGUAAACUCCUGUCGACCGGGAAGAAAACUAUCUGACCCAAUACGUUAGGUAGUCGACUGUACCGGUGGAGGAAGCCACGGCUAACUCUGUGCCAGCAGCCGCGGUAAUACAGAGGUGGCAAGCGUUGUUCGGAAUUACUGGGCGUAAAGGGCGCGUAGGCGGUCUUGUAAGUCUUGUGUGAAAUCCCUCGGCUUAACUGAGGAACUGCACAGGAUACUGCGAGACUUGAAUUCGGGAGAGGGAAGCGGAAUUCCGGGUGUAGCGGUGAAAUGCGUAGAUAUCCGGAGGAACACCGGUGGCGAAGGCGGCUUCCUGGACCGUUAU
This 669-nucleotide ribosomal RNA is filed under the name uncultured bacterium. RNAcentral describes it as "bacterial SSU rRNA". It matches the Rfam family "Bacterial small subunit ribosomal RNA", at positions 93 to 740 of the family's 1533-position model. The record is from RNAcentral.